Molecule: long non-coding RNA, 360 nt
Organism: Cryptomeria japonica (Japanese cedar)
Lineage: Eukaryota; Viridiplantae; Streptophyta; Pinopsida; Cupressales; Cupressaceae
Exons: 2
Source: RefSeq, a predicted model, not a curated record
AGGGGAAAGAGCAAUGGCACGCUCCAUGUUAAAGAAGAGAGUGCUAAAACCUCUCAGAAGAAUAUGGAGGUUCUUGUGUAAGCGACUAUUCAAAGCCCAUAAGAAGAAAAGUGGAAUUUAUGUUUUGUACGAGGACGUCAAAUCCUGCAAUGACGAAGAUAUUAAUGUCUUGUGGUCGAUUUUCGUGAACCUUCACAACAAUACGCAUUGUGCCGAUUCAGUCAGUGUCAGUGCCCCAUGGAAGUCAAUCCCUUGCAAGGCCUGAUGAUAAAAUAAUGUUAGUUAAUUUCAACCAUGGCUGUAAACGAUUCAUUUUUAGUUAUAGAGACCAAAUAAUAAUUGAAUUUGAUGCCUUGAUGC